GGCACUGUGGCUCACGCCUGUAAUCCCAGCACUUUGGGAGGUCGAGGCUGGCGGAUUGCUUGAGCCCAGGAGCAUGAGACCAACCUGGGAAACAUGGCAAAAUCCCAUUGCUACAAACUAUACAAAAAUUAGCUGGGUGUGGUGGUGCGUACCUGUAGUCCCAGCUACUCGGAAGGCUGAGCUGGGAGGAUCACUUGAGCCCAGAAGUUGGAGUCUGCAGUGAGCAGUGAUCAUGUGCCACUGCAUUCUAGCCUGGGCCACAGCAACACUUUGUCCCAAAAGAAAAAAAAAAGGUUGUAUGAUGCUUCAUGGAAAAAAAAGUUUUCCGCCUAGGCAAUAUAGCAAGACCUCAUCCCUACAAAAAUUUUUGUUUGUUUGUUUUAAGGCAGAGUCAUGCUCUUUUGCUCUUUUGCCAGGCGCCAGGCUGGAGUGCAGUGGCGCGAUCUUGGCUCACUGCAACCUCCACCUUCUGGCUUCAAGCAAUUCUUCUGCCUCAGCCUCCCAAGUAGCCGGGACUACAGGUAUGUGCCACCACGCCCAGCUGAUUUUUAUAUUUUUGUAGAGAUGGGAUUUCACUAUAUUGGCCAGGAUGGCAAAAAUGUUUUUAAAAAUCAGACUGGUAUGGUAGCACACACCUGUAGUCUCAGCUACUGGGAAGGAUGAGGCAGGAGGAUUGCUUGAGCCCAGGAGUUUGAGGCUGUGAUGAAACAUGAUUGUGCCACUGUACUCUAGCCUGGGUGACAGAGUGAGACCAUAUUUCAAAAAAAGAAAAAAAGUUGGCUUUGCAGACGCCGCCGCCGCCGCUGCCGCCUGGAGCCUUGUCGUAUCAGCCAUGGUCAACCCCACCGUGUUCUUCGUCAUUGCCGUCAACGGCGAGCCCUUGGGCCGCGUCUUCUUCGAGCUGUUUGCAGACAAGGUUCCAAAGACAGCAGAAAACUUUCGUGCUCUGAGCACUGGAGAGAAAGGAUUUGGUUAUAAGGGUUCCUGCUUUCACAGAGUUAUUCCAGGGUUUAUGUGUCAGGGUGGUGACUCCACACCCCAUAAUGGCACUGGUGGCAAGUCCAUCUACAGUGAGAAAUUUGAUGAUGAGAACUUCAUCCUAAAGCAUACAGGUCCUGGCAUCUUGUCCAUGGCAAAUGCUGGACCCAACACAAACGGUUCCCAGUUUUUCAUCUGUACUGUCAAGACUGAGUGGUUGGAUGGCAAGCAUGUGGUCUUUGGCAAGGUGAAAGAGGCAUGAAUAUUGUGGAGGCCAUGGAGCACUUUGGGUCCAGGAAUGGCAAGACCAGCAAGAAGAUCACCAUUGCUGACUGUGGACAACUUUAAUAAGUUUGACUUGUGUUUUAUGUUAACCACCAGACCAUUCCUUCUGUAGCUCAGGAGAGCACCCUCCACCCCAUGUGCUCGCAGUAUCCUAAAAUCUGUGCUCUCGCUGCAGUUUCCUUUGGGUUCCAUGUUUUCCUUGUUCCCAUCCAUGCCUAGCUGGAUUGCAGAGUUAAGUUUAUGAUUAUGAAAUAAAGACGAAAUAACAACAACAAAAAAAAGUUUUCAAGAGGGGAAGCAGUAAGAAGAGUGUUAGAAACCUCAGGUGCCCAUCUGCUUUCCCCUCCUUGCCCAGGGUGACAGAAACGUGCCAGAUUCUCAUUGGCAGCAACAUGAGUUUUGAUUUGGCCAAGGUGUGUGUGCUCUUCUGGAGCGUAAGGUCAGCACAGAGGCUGCUGGAGGCUGCCUCCACAGACUCUAGCACCACCUUUCCUCAUCUUGUAGCUGAAAUCCCUGGAGUCAUUCUUGUCUCCCCUGGCCUCUUAGAUUCUACGCAUCUCAGCAUGGCUUCCAGCCAUCAUGGGUCUUUUCUUGGGUCUCUCCCCUCUCCUGUCCAUCUUCCAGAAGUAGCUUUCUGAACACAGACUUCAUUGCUCUCCUUUCCAUAAGCAGCAGUCACUCGCAACACUGAGGAAUGAAGACCUUACAGUGUCUUUACACCCUAACCCAAGACUACCUUUCCAGAAUCAUCUUCCCACCCCAUGGCUCUGACCUUCCAAUCACAUUAAAAUUCUCAGUGUGAUGAGAUACCCCAGCUCCUUUCUGUCUCUGCCAUGGCUCACGCUGCUUCUUCUCCCCAUAGAGCCCUCCUCUCAUCUUCCUUGAGAUCUUGCUGACCAAAUAUCCCCUCCUCUUGUGAUGAUUUAGCAGUCACCCACACCCCUGUAGGCCAGCAGACACCCUUCCUCUGCCUUCCGAUAGCUUUGCCCAUAUGUGAUCUCUGCUCUUUGUACCCUGUGCUAUCUCCCGUGUUAGAUCCAGCCUCCCUACUGCUGGUCAUAGCGCUACUGCUGGCACCUGAUUGCAAGCCCAGCAUCUGUCUUGGUGCCAAGCACAUGACAAGAAUUGAAUAAUAUGCCGGGUACGGUGGCUCAUGCCUGUAAUCCCAACACUCUGGGAGGCAGAGGCAAGUGAUCUGAGGUCAGGAGUUCUAAAAUAGCCUGGCCAACAUGGCAAAACCCCAUCUACUAAAAAUAUGAAAUUAGCUGGGUGUGGUGGUGCAUGCCUGUAAUCCCAGCUACUUGGGAGUCCAAAUUGGGAGAAUCACUUGAACCUGGGAGAUGGAAAUUGUAGUGAGGCAAGAUCAUGCCACUGCACUCCAGCCUGGGUGACAGAGCCAGACUCUGUCUCAAAAAGAAAAAUUGAAUAAAUAUUUUUUGAGUGAAAUGGAAUUCUGGGUUGUGGUUUCCAUCAGGUAAGAUUCUUGGUUGUGGCUGUGUGUGGUGGCUCACGCCUGUAAUCCCAGCACUUUGGGAGGCUGAGGUGGGUGGAUCACAAGGUCAGGAGUUUGAGACUAGCCUGGCCAACAUAGUGAAACCCCAUCUCUACUAAAAAUACAAAAAAAUCAGUUGGACCUGGGGGCUUGUGCCUGUAAUUCCAGCUACGUGGGAGGCUGAGGCAGGAGAAUCGCUUGAACCUAGGAGGCAGAGGUUGCAGUGAGCCGAGAUCGCGCCAUUGCAAUCCAGCCUGGGUGACAGAGCAAGACUCUGUCUUGGAAAAAAAAAGAGAUUCUUGGUUGUAAGCAACAGACACCACAUCUGGCUUUGACAAGAGGGAGUUUCCUGGAAGGAUAUGGACGCAUUCACAUAGUCAGUGGAAGGCGAGUGUAGGCAUGCUGGCAUCAGUCCUUACCCACUGUGUCCCUGCUCAGCCACGAGAACAGUGUGCCGCCAGGGUAUUCAGUCUGUAACUCUGCUCUGGAUGCAGGCUUCAGCAAGGGAGUGUCCAGCUGGGCUAAUGGGGCCCACCCUUUGGCUCUGGGAGAGCUGGGCUCCUUGAUGAUAAUCCCAGGAGACUGUAAGCUGUGCUAGGAUGAGGUAGUUCCUCAGGAGGGGAAGUGUGUCUUGGGAUAGUCAAUAGCCGGUGACUGUUCACCACAGGACUAAACCUUGUGUUUCUAGUGCUCCAGGGCCCCAGCUGGCCUGUCUGGUGUGACUUGCCAAGUGUUCUGAGCAAGAAAGGAAGUUGUUUUUUAAAAUGCAGGUAUUGGCCAGACACAGCUCACGCCUGUAAUCUCAGCACUGGGAGGCUGAAACGUGGAUCACUUGUACUCUGGAAGUUUGAGACCAACCUGGGCAAUAUAGUGAGACCCUGUUUCAAUUUAAAAAAAGAAAAGCAGAUAUCCUGGGAAGGGAUAUCAAUGAAAGAAUGAUAUCUCUGGGAAGGGAUAGCCCCUGCUAUCCAGCAUUGAUCUGCCAAAAGUAGGACCUGUGAAUGCAGGAUCCAGAGUAGCCAUGGGUGGAUGCGGUGCUAAAGGGUCACAAGUGUUCCAGUAAUGCUACCCAAAUCACAAGUGUUUCAUGUCCUCUUAUACCUCCAUACUCAGGGAGAAGCAACUUAGAGGCCUCCACAUAAAAGGCAGGCUCUCAGCUGGGUGUCAGAGGUAAGGAAGCCACUGAAGCUUAUUGCUCCUUAAGAAGCAAUCAAGGGGCCGGGCAUGGUGGCUCACGCCUGUAAUCCCAGCACUCUGGGAGGCCGAGGCGGGUAGACCACGAGGGCAAGAGAUCGAGACCAUCCUGGUCAACAUGGUGAAACCCCGUCUCUACUAAAAAUACAAAAAAUUAGCUGGGCACGGUGGCACGUGCCUGUAAUCCCAGCUACUCAGGAGGCUGAGGCAGGAGAAUUGCCUGAACCCAAGAGGCAGAGGUUGCGGUGAGCCAAGGUCGCGCCAUUGCACUCCUGCCUGGGUAACAAGAGCGAAACUCUGUCUCAAAAAAAAAAAAAAAAAGCGAUCAAGCCGGGCUGGUGGGUAGCUCAUGCCUGUAAUCCCAGCAUUUUGGGAGGCCGAGGCAAGCAGAUCAUGAAGCCAGGAGUUCGAGACCAGCCUGAUCAACAUGGUGAAACCCUGUCUCUACUAAAAAUACAAAAAAAAUUAGCUGGGCGUUGUGGUGGGGUACCUGUAAUCCCAAGUAUUCAGGAGGCUGAGGCAGGAGAAUUGCUCAAACCUGGGAGGCAGAGAUUGCAGUGAGCUGAGAUCGUGCCACUGCACUCCAGCCUGGGUGACAAAGCGAGACUCUCUCAAAAAAAAAAAAAUAAUAAUAAUGGAUAACCUUCUCCCAAGUGGAAGGGCUGUGCAGUCAUACAAGGGUAUGACUGACACCAAGGAGUGAAGAGUUGCAGUCAUGAGCUGGGAAGACACAGCCUAAAAGCAGAUAAGCAGGUGGUAGUAAACAACAACCCCAUUACCACAAGCGGGUUUUGCAUGUGCGUGGUAGCAGGGCAUGGUCCUGGGGGAGGUGGGGCUAUCUGAGCAAAAUCACGGCGCUGGGGGAGGCAGGAAUGUUAUCAUGUGUCGGGAAAAGACAAACCAAUGUGAAAGACAAGGGUUUGUAGAGGGGAGUGGUGGAGAGUGAGGUUGGAAGGUGCUUGGAUUCAGUUGUGGACAGCCUUGAAUUCUAGGCUAAGACUUCAGAUGUUGCUUUGUAGGCACUAGGAGCACCUGUGGAUGUUUCAGAAUGGGAGUAUCAUGACGGAUAUGCUGGUUUUAAAAGAGCAGGAAUAAGUAGUGGGCUACUGCUGAGGAAUCUGUCAUGAGUAUGUUAGCCUGGGGACAAAGAAGACUGGCCAAAAAAAAAAAAAAAUCCUGUGUAGAAGGGGGAGCACCCAGGACACUUAGGUUCCAGACCUCCAUUCCCAGCAUCUCACCUGUAACUCCGCCUCCCUCUACUCAUCCAAAGGUCAUGGUGCUUAUUCACCAGCAUUACUAUGAUACAGUGAAAUAAUGAUCUUUCAUGUUUAAAUAAACCUACUUAAUCUUGUGCAUCUAUUUGGAGAUUCAGAAACACCACAUGAGAAGCUACUGGGACUUUUUUCUCCUUUGCUUGGCUUCCCAUUUGUUCUCUAGCUGCUUUUUUCAUCCUCGCUAGUUAUGAACCUUCCCCUCCACUUUGGAGCUUCACAAUGGUUCAGAUCUCCUAGGAUGCCAACAGUGUGGUUUUGAUUCAUGUGUUCCUUCUCCUGCUUAAAUUUCAAUCAAUUCAACGGUGAUAUGCUGGGUAUGAUUGGCUGGAUGCGCCCAUUCCAUUCAAUUCAUUCAUAACUAGGAUGUAAGUGAGGAUACAGGCUUGGGUGUUAUGGCCAAAAGAUUCCAAAUACGAUGACUUUAUCAAGGAUCAUUUAUUUCCCUCUCACUUGAAACAUGGGUAGGUGGUGCAGGGCUGAUGAUGAUGGCUCAGUGAGGUCCCAGGCUUCUUUAGCUAUGGUUCUGCCGACCUCAGCAGAUGGUACACAUCUUCCCCAAGGCUGCUGCUUGGGCUGCCCCCACCACAUGGGGUAGGGAGACGCAUGCCUUCUUUUAUAGGGACACUGCAUUUCUGCUCGCCCUGACCACAUGCCAUCAACAAGAACUUUGGCCCAUGAAUACACUCAGAUGCAGGAGAGGCUGGGAAAUGUUUCCCUUAGCUGGGCAUCCAUGGGCCUCUCCUUGCGUCCAUCGUAGAGAGUGGAGUAGCAGCAUUUGCACCGCAGACCUGAGGGUACUAAGGCUGGGCUGGGGGUGGGGAGUGAGGCCAGGAGCUUGGAUGUGCAGGCUGGAUGUCACACGCAUAUAGGGCAAAGAGGAGGAUCUGGCUGGGACCUGGGGCCUCCACUGUACCCUUGUCCCAAGCCCCAGCACAGCAGGGUGGGCUGAUCCAACCCAAAUCAUCUCCAGAGUCUUCUCUUUCCUACUGUAUUAUGCUGCUUCCAUAUUACCAUAGUUCACUCACUAUCAAGGGCUCCAAAGCAGUCACAUCAUCUAUAUAUUACUUGAUUGUUGUGCACAGGGCAUUGGGUGAAAAUGAAAGUGGGCGGAGCACAUAGCCUCUAACCUCAAAGCCAGUCAUGUGCCAGAUGAAAGGCAAGUCACAGUCUUUAGAUUAAGUAGCAUUUUAACAAAACUAAAAUGCCCAAAAGUCCUCCUUGCCAGGGCCCAGCAGGUAAGACUGGAGUGUAGAAAGGUUGUCAUUUUAAUUACAAUGUGAAAUCCCAGCGCUGAUAACAGUCCUACCAGGACAGAUGCAGUGGCCCGUGUCUCAAAACUCACACCACCACAUGUUCCAGACUUCAUCUGGGGCUUCACCUGCUUUUUGCCUCAGAACAGUCUUAAUAGCAUGGUCCUGUGUUCAACCCAUUGUGCAGAUGAGGAAACAGAUUGGCCACAGUCACAGAGUAAACAGAUGAAAAGCUAGUCCUGUGUGCCAAGAUGUGCCUCCCUUGAGAACAUAGGUUCUUAAGUAGAAGCUGUGCCCACCUGCUCAUUUAGCACAGGCAGGGGAAGGGUGAGCAGUUGGGUCAUCGUGGGGCACUUGCCAUGGCUGUGCACAGCUCAGGAGCUUUGGCCAGCUCCCUUUUCCUUUCUGUCAGUCAGCAAAUAUGUGUUGAGCCCCUCAGAGCUAGGUAAGCUCUGAGCUGGGCACUUGGUGAGUACAUUUAAAUCUGAUGCCAGCCCUGUGAGCUAGGCAUUAGGAUCCUUUGUUCACAUUGGAUAAGCAUAAGGCCCGGAGAGUUAAGUACCUUUCUGGGAUCACAUGCUGACGCUUGGCAGACCAGGAUUCUGGGCCAAAGUCCAUUCUUUCUGUGCAUUGGCUGAUCUAUCAGAAGAACCCCCCUCCCUGCCAGGCUUGAGAACCCACGGGAGUGAUGGCCCAGUGCUGUGGUGUUGCCUUUCGUUAUUGGCAAGAUGAUGUGUGCCCUUCCACGUGUCCACAUGCAAAGGUGCGACUCAUGGAAUGAAGACAGCUCAGCAGCCUCUAGUUGCUGGGACAGAAAUGCAAGUCAGUGGGCUCUGGCCUUUCUCCCAGGCUGUGUUGCCGCCUUGGUGGCUGAAGGGGCACGACUAGGGGGUGUGCUUGGCAGAGCCUGGGGUGGUGUCCUCUUUCAUCCCUGUAAAUAACACAUUAGUGGCUUGAUCUGCCAUGAAGCUGACAAUCACAGUCAAUAUUUGAAGGCUGGGAAGCUGUGUGGGCCCUGCUUCUGGGACCUGUUGUCAGCUGAUGAUGUGGUCCUGCCUGGGUGCCUGUGAGUCAGAUGGAAGAGAUGGCCUCACAUCAUGAACACUAGCUCCACCUACGUCAUGUUGGACUUGACUCUUUACAGAGCACCUAGGAAGGGAUAUUGAUGAGUGAACCAGUGCCCAGUCAUCGAGCUAAUUAUUUGCCCCAGAAAGGUUAACAUACUGAUGGCAGACAGGGCAUUGUGGGCAGCAGGGCACUCUGUUCAUUUAGUCUGGUCCACAGGUGCGAUCAAGACAAUUCCUUAUUGUCUUGGAACCAGCCCCUUUAAGCUUCCCUAUGCAGCUCUGUGACAGCUUCACGGGGAAACCUGUGAGACCACUGUCCUUUUGCCAGACCCACCCCCACUUUUGGGAUUAUCCCUCUUCCUAUGUUUUCUGAGGCUUUUUGGUUUUUUAGUUUAUUUUGUAAUUAGAGCAGAAAAGGUACAGUAAUUGGACAGGAGGGUUGAGAGCGCUAGAAUGAGCCAGGAUGUGGUGGGGAAAUGGGGUGGGGAGCCCCGGACCUUAAGGCAGCAUGCGUGGGCGGGGGGAAGGGGAGGGGGGAACAGACUAGGGUGCAGUUCUAGGUGGACCACUAGAUGGCGCUCACACAUUGGUGUUCAGACGGGACCAUGGCACUUUCCACUUGGGGCUUCUGUAAAAUCUCCCCACGAACUAGCCAAAGCUUUGUAUCUGUCAUCCUGCCAUUCAUCCCUCUAACCUCUCUUGAUCUUCUACACAUAGGUAAUAGGAAUAUGUAUAUGUUCCUCUGUAGUUCAGUUUUCUCAACAUUUAGUGACCUUAAAAGCCUGGCAGGAAUACCUUCAAAGCCUCCCACCUUGUUAGUGCAUUGCCACAUUUUCACUGUUCUCCUAAGCCAAUGUUUACAUGGCAGUAAAUCCAUGUUUAGAGUAGCUAAUAGAGAAACCUGUUUCUCUCUUCAGUCAUUCUGAGGGUAUGUUUGAUAAAGAAGUGGAAAUUAACAGGAUAAGAGUUACUGAAAGGAUAAUAGGUAACAAAUGUUUUUUUUUAAAUUUCCAUUCAAAAUUACUUGUUGGUAAAUUGUAAAAUAUUUAAAAUUAAUGAGUUAUUUUAUCAGAUCAUUUUGUGUUGUUAGAGAAUUUUCACCAAGCCGAGAUUCAAAUGCAAUCUGUCUUACUGCAUACUGCUGGCUCUAGGAAGGAGGAGGGACAGGCAGGGAAUCAUGGCUGGUGUUGUUAUCUUUACCAAGGUGCGUGUGGUGUGAAAGCAAAACCCAUCUUAAAUUCAUCAUCCGUUUUGAUGUUGCACAGAAAUGAAAAUUAAUUUCUAUAUGUCAACUAAAAUGGAUUCUGCCCCUGCCUGGUUCAAUUCUGUCUUAGCUUCGUGGACAUCUUGGGGAGCUGCUCUGCUGGUACAUGCAGACGUGCUUCAUCUGUGCACUUCUUAGCUGAGAUAACAGUGCUCCGAGCCCCACUGCUAAGGUUAACCUGUAUACUGCAGAAGGACAACAGAUGGAAAUUCUGGUUUGCAGCCACUGCAGAAAAAUAAAAACAUGUUCCAAAGGGAAAAGGAUCUUGUAUUUCUGCGUUUGAACCUUUGAUCUGCAUUCACAUCUGAAGGGAGGGCUAAACCUUUUGGUGGAGACACAUGGCUUUGCAUCUGUGAAAACACAGCUGUAUAGAGCAAAACAAAACUAGUGGAAAAUACAAUGGUUUUGCUGUGUCAGGCUCGCUGCUAAUGCUUGAAUUCUACAUAAAUAUUGUUUUAUGAUAGUUCUUUCAGAAAUUUUCUUGACUUUCCAUAUAAGUGUUCACUAAUGUUAUUCUUUUGAAUUCAGAUUUGGGGCUUUUUAGAAUUAAGGCACAAUUUAAAAAUCCUUUAUUUUAAAAAGGCAGUAAAAUAAACAGACUGUAGUUAGGUAGUAAUAACAUUAUCUAAAUUUAGACCUCAUUGGAGGAGGGGGAGAUGGGGAAAAAUUAAACCCUUUAAAAGAUGAAGGUAAAGUUCUAACUUUAUCCUUGAUUCUGAAUGUAUUUUCUUUUUAGGAAAUGCUGCAUGCAUUUCGUACUGCAGGUUGCAGUGUGAAGGGUCUUUGAAGCACUCUAAAGAGACUUAGCUGCUUUGUUUUGAGCAAUUAAGAUUUGUUAUUGAGUGAAUUAAGCAGCUCUGCUUUGGCUCAUCUGUAAAUAGUGGUCUUCAGCGAGUUUUUUGAUCCGCUUUUCCCAGGGAACAGAAGCCAAGUCGGCUUCCUUAGGAGCUGCUUGCCCUGAUCUUCAUGGUUCCUCCCAGUCCCGGGCAGAACCCAAGCCCGUGGUCUCCUCGCCCUGCCCUCGGGGUUUUCUGCUAUUGACCUGGUGGGGCCCUCCAGCCCUCCCUGCCCGCUGGUGCCCCGGGCCCUCUCGGCUGCAGGAGUGGGGCCCAGGGACAUCGUGGACAAAAGCCGAGGAUGCCUGUUCGAUGUGCGAGCAGAAGGCCACCUGCAUGCGCUCUGCGGAGCAACCUGCCGGGUUUCAGAAGGGGGGCCGCCUCCGGGGAACGGCCACGGCGCCCCUCCUACCCCUCCCGGCACCAGUAGCUUCAUCCUCAGGCCCACUCUGGGUGAAACGUGUGGGGUUCUCAAGAGAAAGAAUUUUAGGUUUGUCGAUAGUAAUCAUCGCCCCCAGCGCUCCCCCACGCUGCUGGAGAGAGCGCAGACCGGGUGACAAGUCUUCCAGGCUCCCAGAAAGUUUCCUUUGCGAAGCGCGGGUUCCGCAAACCCCUUCCAGGAAGGACCCGGAGGGAACCAGCGCGAAGCUCCGAGUCGGCCGGGGACCCUGACUGAGGUCUUUCCUCCGGCGUCCCUCUCCCCCGCGCCGGCCUCCCCUCCUUUCAACUCUCUGCGCUUUGAAACCGUGGAGUCGGGGUGGCCGGGCCCUCCGGCCCGGCCACUGGCCCGGGCGAUAGGCAGCGGGCGGGUGUGGACAGGAACAAGGGGGUGGGUGGGGAGGAGGCCUCGGCCAGAGCAGGUCCUCUGCGGAGUUUCGGAAGCCGGGUUUAUCCAUUUUGAUUAAAGAAAAGUAAAAAAUCCCCAAAACCAAACAACAAAAACCCUCUCCCAACCCCCAACGCGCCUCCACAGCUGCAUUUUGUUCCUGGGACUGUUGGUGUCACCAGAGCCUCUGUUUUUGCAGCUCUAGCCUCCAUUGCAAAGCACUAGUAAAGCCUAUUAAUUUUUCAGGCAAAACAGAUCAAGCCUGCCUUUGAUGCUGCUGUUUCCUAAUUUAGUAUUCAAAAGUAAAGAAUCCUACUACCUUCUCUUCACUUUUUACAUAAUUAAAAGAGUUUAUCCCCCCAGUGGCAAAGAACUAGUCGCUUAGUAUUUUUUGAAGUGAAAAACUUGGUAUCACACCUGUUUUUAUGCUCUUUCCUAAACAUAACCAAUAUUUACUCUUUGCUGGUACCUAGUUGCAUGCUAUUCACCCUUGCAUUUUAAUUUCUGACACAGAGAAACUAUAAACAGUAUUCUUCCUCUGACUCAUCUUCUAAGCUUAAAUAUAUGUUUGUAUGUGCAUAUAUAUUUUUUCCUCUAACAUUAAGAAUGCAAUUUAAAAUAAAACUGUUGAGAAUCAUUGAUUGCCCUAACUUGUGCAUGACUCCUCAUCUUACACAGGAGCAUCACAAGUUCAGUGAAGUGGACUUUCGCAGGUUUCCGUCUGCUGUGUUUAAUAGCAAAUUGUGACCCUUCAAACCACUUCAGGGCCUUUUGUGUUCUUAUCUGUGCAUUUCAAUACUUGCUGGGAAGUGCCUUCAGUUUCACUACAUAUGCAAAAAGCCCAGCUUGAAUUUUUUGACACCCCCUUUUCAUUUGUUGGUGGAGUCCUGUUUUCUAUUGUUUGCUUGUUGAUGUUGGCCAAAGUCAUUUAUUUAAUGAUGCCAGAAAUACUAUGCCUUAUUCUUUAUUGGCAUGAAAUUCUAAAGCAUCCGGGAGUAGUUUAAAAAUUAAUGCAUGCCGUUGAAACUUACAUAUUGGUGUAGUUUUAUUUUUCCCAUCAUAAGGUAGAUGAUAUUAUAAAGGUAUUAUAUAGUAAUGGUCACCAGAAGCCAAUUAAAACCACUAGGAUUCUAUCAAAAACCUGUUUGGCGGCAUAAAUAAUUGAUAUGUGGAAAUAAAGCAGCGUUCUCUGGGCAGGGCCCUGCUGUACAGACCUGCGUAGCGUGAGCAGUCUCUCUUCUGUGAACCAGGAGACAAUUUCUGGGCAUAAUAUCACCUGGGUUUUAAAAAAUAAUAAGGCCACAGACACAUUUUUUAAAAAACUUCCCUUGCCUAUGGAGACAGAGAGGAGAUAGUGAUGUUAUUUUCAGGUAUUUGAGCUUCUUAGAGAAAAAGAAACAAAUACCAACCUCCUCAGGAGCUAGGUGCAAAUGGAAUAAAUCGAGGCACUCCACUGACACAUCCAGCUUGUUUUAAAUGAUGUGAUUAAAAAGGACAUCUGAGAACAAAUUUAUGAAGUUGUUAUGGCAACUGAAAUACUUGGAUUGAAAUGUGUGUAUCUAAAAGAUGAAAGAUUGCAGGAAACCGGAGAAACAAGCACAGCAUUGUGUUUGGGAAAGGCAAGUGAACAGUGGUAGCCAAAUAUUAUUCCACCGUCGGUCAUCCUUCAGGGUAGCUGCCUCGGUUUCCACUUUUAGAAACGUGUGGUGAUUGAUGCUUUCACAGACUGUGUUGUCCCAAGUCCCCACGCCUCGUACCAGCGUUUGCUCAUUGGUCGUUUGACCUGUUGAGAACAGAGUCUCUGUAUUGUGUUCAAUGCAGGGGUGGAUUUAGAGUUGCCUCUGCAUCUACCCAUUAAGUUUAUACUCCCGUGUUCUCAUAUUAACGUCUGUGUUUGUGAAUAGUCUCUCUCGUCUUUUCAUUCAUUAUCUCCCCCAGUUCUAACCCACCAAUGGCCACCAACAAAUAGCCGCACUCAAAGGAGUCAAAAUAGUUAAAUCUUCCCUAGCAUUCUUUACUCUGUUCUAAAAGCUACAUAUUCCAUCUACAUAAUUUGAUUCUAUUUUAAUCUCCUGGUUUUUAAAUUUUCCUCAUCAGUACUUAUAAGAGUAUUGAGUAAUUGUUUCUUUAAAUCACAGGCAAGGAUAUUUAAAAUUAACAUGUACCAAUGUGUGUUGCGGUGCGUUGAAAAUUCGGUACUUUGAGUCACAUCUAGAAUGCUUUCGAUUUUUUCCAUCAUUAGAUUUCAGAUACAUACAGUGUCCAAAAAAUAGUUUUCAAAAAAUGUUACCACAAAUUUCUCACAAUAUAUUUUGGGUUUUUUUACUUUAAAUGAAAAAAUAAUUAAGUGUCAAUUAUAAUGAUUUUAGUAGACCAUCCCAUAAAAAGUAUGCUAUUUUAAUUAAAAAACAUUUUGACAAAACAUACAUUUACACUGAAAAAUUCAAACGAAAUGGUUUCUUCUUUAGCAGUAUUGAUUGUUGAAUAUUGAUUGCCAAGUUAUUUGGUCUCAAUUUUAAGCAUAAAACUCUUUGCAUUGAAUAGUCUUAAUCCCUAAAGCAAAGCAAAGUAAAAGAGAAAAAAAACAGGUAGAAUUUCCACAAAAUUGUAGUUCCCUUAACCCAUGAAUUAGAACUUUUUACUCUAACUCCGGUCACUCUGGUUUUUUGAGUUAGACAUGAGGGUACAAUAAAACAGCUUCUUUUUUGUAAUAGAUUGUUUUCCUAAUUCUUGAAAGACUGAGAUGAAAACAUUUUUCUCUUCUAUUGCAAAAUUAACUGCUGUUACUCUGUCAGACCAGUUAUUCACUCUAAAUGUCUUAUUAAACCUGUAUAUUUAUGUUUUUUAAUCCCUUUGUGCAUAUGUACAUGGAAGCGAUUCCAUUUUAAUUUCAAUUUUGAAAACCCAUAGAUUGAAGAUGAUAUAAUCAGAGUAAUAAUAAGGAUUCCCCAGGUAUAUUAAACGUAAGAUUUGGGUCUUUGUUAUGAAAAUGAAUUUCCUUUUUCCUUUCUUUAGUCUUUCCAUUUUAAGGACUUUUUUUUUUUAAGUAUGAUUUUGAUGUUUCCAAAGUGGAUGCUAUUUUAUUUCAGGUGGGUCAUUUGAUAGUUUGUUGAUGUUCUCAAGGUCUCUAAACAAAGUCUGAUGUGUUAACAGUCUUAUUAACGAUGUUAAAAUAGAAUUAACAGCUUGUGGAUGCCUCCAGAGCACAAUAGCCUGUCAGCCUCCCCUGCCCCCUUAUAAAUUGUGCCCCUGCUGUCAUCCCUUUGUUUCAGGCCCAAUCAGCAAACUAAACUUUUGUGGAGAGAGAAGGCAGUUCAAGUGUUUCUGCCGCAGCUGAAGGGAGGAGCUAAUGUGGAAUUUAUUGGGAGACCAAUCAGUGCUGGAGGGAAGAAUGACCCCAAAUUGGAAGGACUUUGUUGACCCCCUUGGCUCCCUGACCUUUCCUUGCUAUUUUGUCCCUUUAAAGAGGUUUACUUUGGUUGUCGUUCACUUUGUGAUGCUUUUAGUGAAAGCCCCAGAAGUCUUCAAAGUUUUGGAUUUAAGAUCCCUCUCAGCACAGAUUUAAUCGCGAUGCGCGAUUUUGAGUUGAUGUUAACACUCAGAAUUGUGUUUUAAAAAUCUGAUACAAGCUAUUGAUAAUUAUUUAAAGGGGUAGAAUUUCAUCAGUUCUUUUGAGCCAAAAUGGAUUCUAAAUCUCUUCUAGUAACUCUUUCGUAUAGCUACUUUCAUAGAGAGUCAGAUUAGUUAUUAAUGUUAGACUAUUGGUUCUAUUUCGUUGAAUUUAUGCUUUAAAAAAAUAGGUUUGUGUAUUCCAAGUCUUUAAAACUGUUUUUUUUUUUUGAUCAGGCAAUAAUUAUAGUGAGUCGGAAACAAAUAUUUUUAAAGGAACCCUCAUUUUUUCAUUAGUAUUACUAGUAACAAAUUUGACAAAUUGUCACAUUUAAAAGAAUAGAUUUAUGGGAUAGUCUGACAAAUGGAUACCACUUUUUCUUUGCUAUUGUCCAAUUGAAUAAUUUAUAAAGGGCAGCAUAUCUGUAAAAUAGUUGCCCGCUCUCACUGAGAGCUCUCACUACACCAGUUUCGGUAAGGGCGAAUGAGACAUUAUUAAGAGUUAAGUAUUUUUCAGAUUGCUUGACAACGUUCCUUGUUGACUGACCAGCGUUCUUCCCUCUUGUGAUUUGGUUUGUUGCUUAUAUUUGCUUUUCAACCGGCCACUGUUCAAGUGUUCCGAGUUGGUCACUGCUGGUACAAAGAAAAGACAUCUCAGGCUAGAUGCAGGACACUACAUAUUUUCUUCAAACUGAGGUUAAAUAAAAUUACUCAAAUGCAUCCAAGUACAGGGAACAAGAUGCAGUUAAUGAAUUAUGGUUUUGAAAUAUGAUCAUUUGCCAAGGAAUAUGCUGUGCUGAAAAUGGAGCAGGGUAAACUCAGCGUCCUCUUAGCUCAUCGGUGCCGCUCAGGUAAACCCCGAGGGGAAUAUUUCCUUCUACUUAAUAAACCCUAAGUAUAUGCAUCCAUUGAUUGAAUGGUGUGGGAAACUGGAGCAAACAGGGCAUCGUUUGAUACUAGCCCUGGGUGGGGGUAUAAAUAGUAUUUUUCAGUUGGCAUCCUUGAGUUGCGCUGCUUGAUUGGGGCCACUUUACCUGGCUGAGGAAGAGAGUCUCUGCAGUAGCUGUCCCUUAACAGUAACUGCUUGGUACCUUUACCCACAGUGCCCAUUGCUGCCCUUCCCCAUCCCAUGUCUAGUGUGCCCUCACAUUCCACUGCUGGUCAGCAAAACCUUCUUGUCAGGAAGUGUAAUCAAGCCCUUUUUUGGUGUGCCCGCUGAAGGAGCACUCCAGGCCGUGGAGUUGGGAACAUGCCUCGACAUGUGGGCACCCUGCUUGCCUGCCUGUUGAGACCAAGCAUCGAUACUGUGUGUCUACCUGAUGGAAGUGACCAGUACGUGUCUGCAUGACUUGGGGACACUAAGAAAGCCAAAGGGAUUAGCAGCAAACAAAGAGAGCUUGUCACCUUUGUGCGGAAGCCAGCUGGCAUCUCACAGGGACAACCUACAACCUGAGCUGCUGCAUCCUCACUAAAUCUGGGCCUGUAGGGACCCUGUUUUACUCCUCCUUCCCAGAGCUUAUUACGGGUCUGGCUACCAAAGGGAAAGAGGGGAGAAUAGACCAGGAGCCUUAUGCUAGAACCAUUUCUUUUGUUUCAGGUGAUGCAGACAGAGGUGAAACUGCAAAUUUAAUGAAACUUUAAUAAUCAGUACAAUGUUUCUCUUUAAGAACUUUGUAAAUAGCAUUUAUCCUUCAAGAGUUCUUUCUCUUUUUGCAAUUAUUUUAUAAACUUUAAGGAAAAAGAGAAAAAGUCAGUGGUUCCAGCGUUUGCUUUAGUCUGUGACUUAAAUGGGUUGUAACUCUUGACCACUGACAUUUACCUAGAGAAAUCAGUGGUCGUAGAUGUUGAGGUUGAUGUCUCUUCGGCUCUGGGACCAAUCCCCUUGGACAAAAGUUUUCCUGUGUUCUUAGUAUCCUGAACUGGCUGCAGCAACUUUUAGGAAAAUAAAGGUUACAAAUAAAAUUUCUGACAAUUUGACUGUUUGCUUUUGCAUUUCAAAUUUGUCAAACGUAGAGAUAAUUUUUCUUUAGAACCUUUGUAAUUCCCUGAAGCAGCUACUUUAAAGCCAACUGUGAAAUGCUGCUUUAGAAAUAAUCCACAUAAACAUGUUUCUGUAUUUAAUCACAAGAGAGAUUAGAGAAUGGAUGUUUUAUUUUUCAGUAGUUUUUGUUCUAUAAAAAUAUUAAAUUGCUGUUAUUAUUACUAAAGAUAUCUUUGCAUAGCACUUUAUAAUUUUCAUGCUCUUUUACAAAUACUGUUACAUAUAAUCUUUGAGUUCUAGAGGAAGAUAUUACUAUCUUGGUUUUGUAGGUGAAGAAACAAUAAAUGCACACAUUUGUAACAUGCCACAUAGUGCCCGCUUUGUAUUACUAGAAAAUCAUUUUAAGAAAUAUAUUUGGUAUGUAAAAUGCCUGGAAACACAAUGUAAAUUUGGAACGAAGAAGCUAUUUUGAUUCCACAUGAUCUCUGUAACAUAUGACCAAAAAAAAAAAAAACCCAGGAGAAUAAAAUCAUCUGAUAAUGUAAAAUUCCUGUUUUAGUACACAAUUACAUGAAUCUUAUGAUUGCUUAGUUUUCAUGUUUAUAAAAUAUAUGCCCCAUAAUUAUGGCAGAAUAAUAGGAACCCUUUCCUUUCAAUUUUUAGGACAAAUUAUAAUCAAAAUAUUAUAGCAGAAGAAUGUUUUUCAAUUAAAAAGUGAUUUGGUUAAAAUAUGAUUUUUUUUCUAAAAUCUCAAAAUGGUCAAAAUAUAUUUUAAAAUAUAUUUGUUAUAUUUUAUUAAAAAAAAUUUUCUCCCACUUGUUAAAGAUUAACUGGCAUAAGUAUUUGUUUUGGGGCAAUUCACUGCCGGCAUUCAGAAACAGAACUAUAUUAUUGGGCCCAGGAAAAUCUGAUUAGUGUUUCUAAGAAUUAGUAUAGCACAGCAAGACAGGGAAGCAGUCCAAAGUGCUAAAGGUUAAAAGCAAUUUAUAAAAAUUAGGAAAAGACCUUACUUGUUAAAAAAAAAAAAACACACACACACGUUUCUUAAUAAUUAAGAUGGUCUAAGUGAUAUUCAUGAAUAUUUUUCAUAAUAUUUUCAUAUUAUUUUUACAAAAAUACUUUGAGGCCAGCAGAGGAGGAAAAAUUAAUAUAAGAAAGAAAACAAAAAAUUUUCCUAAUUUACAAGAUCCAAAAUCUUAUGAAUAUAGUUUUUAGUGAAAAAAUUUAUUAAACUUUUACACAAUAACUCUAAGAAAUGUCUCUACAUAUGGUCCCAAGGGUUAAAAAAAAAAAACAAAACACCCAAAACUCCUCUGGGGAAAUAAUCAUUUCAUGAAAAGCAGUCUCUUUAGAAUUUCACUGGCAUCACUCUGAGAAUCGAAUUGAGCUUAAUUUCUGUCUUUGUGAUACUCAAAUAUACAUUUUGCAUUCUAGAAGUUUAGAGGAGGUAUUAUAUGUCCAUGGUUUUCUUUAAACAACUCUAACAUCAAAAUGGUCAAACUGUUGGACUGAUUCAUGUUAGAUAAAACAGAUGGGAUUCUCAGAUCGUGCACCGUUCAGCCGUUUGAUGGAAUUCGCGCCACCCUGACCAGCGAGCCCAGAUGGCGCUUAAAUCUGUCACUCUUUAACGACCCUACUGUUUUUUAAAAAUAUUUUUAUAUUUGAGCUCAUUCAGUUAAUCUGAGAGAUUAAUCUUUUCCAAGAUAGUCUGGGGGGAGGCUUUACUGAGGGUUUCACUUUAAGGAGCUGAAGGAGAAUAAGAAGAAUGAUAAGGCCUCCUGGACACAAGACAAUUUGCUAGAAGGAAUCUGGGGAGGAAGGGCUGGUGGUCCUUGGGCUUUGGGAUGUUUUCGAGGCAACAAGGUGGAGAAGCUCACAUGAAGAGUGGUAGUGAUGGGGGUUAAAGGAAGAGGGAAUGGACGGGGAGGGCCUGGUGCGGGGACGUGGAGGUAAACACUGACAUCGCCCUUGCCAAGCUUAGAUCUCAGUAAGGGGCUAAGUGCCAUCUCGGACCAUACCUGGGUGGCUUUAGGCAGCCUGACCCUCACUGCUUACCAUGGGGAUGACUUAGUGGGUGUGCCCCCGAGCAGACCCCACCAUGGGCCCCAAUGUGAGAAGCCUCUCUGGGAUGGCUCUGGAAAGAACCUGUCUGAGCACCAGAACUCGCACAAAUCUCAUGGGUUUUUUUUCCCUGUAGGUUUUUCCCCCUUUCUUAAAUCAUUGUUUUGAGCCAGUCAGCCUUCUGAAAUGCUUCAGUCAUUUGGGGGGUAAGAUGUUGGCCAGCCCCUCCCUCCCGAAUCUCUAACCUUGGAUACAUUUGCAGAGUGGCUUGGAAUUGCUUUCUACUCCUGCUGGGAUAAGGAAAGGAAAAAAUGAAUGGUUUUUCAUUAUGCACAAAUGGUAUUUUUUCCUGCAUUUGAAUCAGAUGUAGCAGGUGCCAAAAUAUGGUGCAGAAUUUACAGUAUUAAUGUAAAAAUUUCGACUGUCCCAAAAAGCCACCAGAGAUGGACAAAUCCACCUAUGUUAACAAAAGUAAAAAUACCCUGCUGUCUUUAAAGAUGUUCCUGGUGGCGUUUGGGCUGCUCUGUGCCAGUUUUUCUGGGGAUCAUGUGAUGCUGCCUAUACUUGGGUGUCUUGUGGAAGGCAACGGAUGCGUCUCAACCUGCAUAUAAUACGGGGGCAACCGUCUUGUGCCCACCUGAGUGUCUGCACACUGAAGAGGUCUGCUUUAGAGAGGUUUUCCUCCUGAAAUAAGGAUAUCUGAGCUUCACAUACACCCAAAAGCAAGCAGAGAAGCAAAUUGUGUUGGGAGGUUCUUUUGGAAGGUGUGGGGCUUUGGGGGUCUUGGGGACUGGGGGACUGUCAGAAGUCACUGCGCUCAUAGAACAUGGUGGGAACUUACAGCAAAAACUUCUCCACAGAAAUGCCCCAUGUAACCACCCCUUGAGGAUGGAGCCACCUAUGUUGUAAACAGAGUGGAAGAACAUCAAGCUCAUAAUAUAUCAUUUUCAUCAUAAACCUGUAAGCACACCACAAUCACCAUUUCACCUCCCCACCCACACACACACAGGGACAUUAUGGAAAGGAUUGCAGUAUAGUCCUACUUAAAGAAUAUUGCAGGCUGGGCAUGGUGGCUCACGCCUGUAAUACAAGCACUUUGGAGGCCAAGGCGGACAGAUCACCUGAGGUUGGGAGUUCAAGACUAGCCUGACCAACAUGGUGAAACCCAGUCUUAAAAAUAAAAUAAAAUUAAUUAAAAAAAAAACAAUAUUGCUUUUUUUUUUUAGACAAUAAACAAUUGCUAGAAGAGUGGAGAGACCACAUACAUGUAACUGUGGCAGGUUUAGGGUUCUGUGUAAUCGGUAAGACAUGAGAGAGAGAAAGAGUGUCUACUGGCCUCAGUUUCCUAGUAGUUUUGGGUGUUUACAGAGUACAAUUGAACAUUUUAAGGGAAGCAAUUUGUGGUGUGUGCAUUGAAAAUUAUUUUGAUGAAGUUAUGGAAUAUAUUUGAUAUUAUCUUAAAAACUAAUUUCCUACUUUUUUCACUCAACUACAUAUUUCUGAUAGUCAAAACCAACAUUCUCUUUUAAUUUUACUAGUCAACUCAUUUCACACUCACCUGAUUCUCUCUAAAAUCAAAAAUCUUUCUAAUAUUCCAGUGGGCAAAUGUUCUGUUUUGGAACAAAAGGAUAUAUGCAUUUGAAGAAUUUUCUAGUCACCUGAGAAAUAAAAGUUUGCCCAUCCUUUUUUAAUUAAUGCUUGCCAAGUAAUUAGCAGUGAAAAGAUGAGGGGCAAAAAUGAAUCGUCUUCAAUAGAACAUUGGAGGCUGGGCAUUGUGGCUCAUGCCUGUAAUUCUAGCACUUUGGGAAGCUGAGAUGGGAGGAUUGAUUGAGGUCAGGAGUUCGAGAACAGUCUGGACAACAUGUGAAACCCUGUUUCUACAAAAUAUACAAAGAAUAGCCCUGGUGGCACAUGCCUGUAGACCUAGUUACUUGGGAGGCCGAGGUGGGAGGAUUGUUUGAGCCCAGAGGCAGAGAUUGCAGUGAGCCAAGAUUAUACCACUGCACUCCAUCCUGGACAACAGAGUGAGGCCUUGUCUUUAAAAAAUAUUUUUUUAAAUCUUUAAUCAAACACUGGUGCCCAAACGUGGUGGCUCACGCCUGUAAUCCCAGCACUUUGGGAGACCGGGGUUAGGUGGAUUACCUGAGGUCAGAGUUUAGACCAGCCUGGCCAACAUGGUGAAAAGCCAUCUCUAGGCUGGGCACAGUGGCUCACGGAUAUAAUCCCAGCACUUUGGGAGGCCGAGGUGGAUGGAUCAUAAGGUCAAGAGAUUGAGACCGCCGGGCGCGGUGGCUCAAGCCUGUAAUCCCAGCACUUUGGGAGGCCGAGGCGGGUGGAUCACCGGGUCAACAGACGGAGACCAUCCUGGUCAACAUGGUGAAACCCCGUCUCUACUAAAAAUACAAAAAAUUAGCUGGGCAUGGUGGCGCGUGCCUGUAAUCCCAGCUACUCAGGAGGCUGAGGCAGGAGAAUUGCCUGAACCCAGGAGGCGGAGGUUGCGGUGAGCCGAGAUCGCGCCAUUGCACUCCAGCCUGGGUAACAAGAGUGAAACUCCGUCUCAAAAAAAAAAAAAAGAGAUUGAGACCAUCCUGGUCAAUAAGGUGAAACCCCGUCUCUACUAAAAAUACAAAAAUUAGCUGGGCAUGGUGGUGUGCACACCUGUAGUCCCAGCUACUCGGGAGGCUGAGGCAGGAGAAUUGCCCUAACCCGGGAGGCGGAGGUUGCGGUGAGCUGAGAUCGUGCCAUUGCACUCCAGUCUGGGUAACAACAGCGAAACUCCGUCUCAAAAAAAAAAAAAAGAAAACCCAUCUCUAUUAAAAAUAUAAAAAUUAGCUGGGUGAGAUGGCAGGUGCCUGUGAAUCCCAGCUACUCACGAGGCUGAGGCAGGAGAAUCACUUGAACCGGGAAGGGGAGGUUGCAGUGAGCUGAGAUCGUGCCUCUGUACUCCAGCCCCGGAGGCAGAGUGAAACUCCAUCUCAGAAAAAGAAUAUUGGACAUUUGAACAAGAUAAAUGUGUUUUGGUAGAAGAAAAAUGAGAACUAGCGCUUGUCACUGCUGAUACCUCAAUCCCCUCCCUGGGGAUGAGGAUGGUCAAUGGUACAGCAACCCCAGCCUGCCCAGCUUCUGGGAUGCCAAGCUAGGGGUGGCCUUGCCAGGUCCAAGGUGCUGGAGCCGAUCCAGGAAAUAGGAUGAAGGGAUAGAAUCACACUAACAGGCCAUGAUAUGAUUGAAUCAAGGUACUAAUCUAGAUGAAGAGUUGGGGGUACAGAAGCCAGAUUCACCAGGGGCUCCAGGGCAGAACAAGCUGGUUGGGGGUGAAGGCAGGAGGUAGAAGCCAAGGAAGUGUGGGCGGAUCUACAGAUGCCUUUAUAGGUCCUCAGCAUCGAAUGAGGAGUGAGGCAUUAGAGGCGAGGAGAUAUAUGAACAUGUAGCUUGUCCUUUCUUCCUUCCAGAGCCUUCUCUAGCCAUUUGCAAAAAUUCCACAAGCGUGUUAUGCAGUCAUUUUUUUAAUAAUCGGAGAGAUGGGAGAGGAUAGUGGGGGAGGGUGUCAUAAGCCUUGAAAAAGUUAGGUAUUCCAGAGAACCCUAGUUUUCCAAAUAGGGAAUGUCGAGUCGGGUGGUAGUUUCAAAUCAUUAUUCCAUUUUCUUUACCUCUGAAAAUAUUUCCUAAUGUAUUGAAAGGCUACCUUCAAUUGCAUGAAUAUCGUAAAGUUUCUUUUUCAUUCCCCAUGAAGAUUCCUAUUUUGAGCUUUUAAGAGCUGUUACAACUGAGAUAUAAACAGUAUUCUGCACCCCACACAACAUACAUCUCAUGGUUAGUGACAGGGUUCCUAGAACUGCAAGACAAGUUUGGGCUUAGUCAAUCUGUUAAGUUUCCUUGUAGGCAUGUUUUUUCAUUCUAUUGUGUUAGCAAGGGGCCUGUUAGAAAUUUCCAUGUGUAUAAAUGAUACUUUAAGAGCUGGGUGCAGGCCGGGCGCCAUGGCUCACACCUGUAAUCCCAGCACUUUGGAAGGCCAAGGCAGGCGGAUCACUUGAGGUCAGAUGUUCAAGACCAGCCUGGCCAAUGUGGUGAAACCUUGUCUCUACUAAAAAUACAAAAAAAUUAGGUGUGGUGGAGGGUGCCUGGGCGACAGAGCAAGACUCUGUCUCAGAAAAAAACAACAAAAACAAACCAACAAACAAAAAACUGCAAAAGUCUUCCCAGGAGGUGACAGGGACUCAAACAGGUAGGUGAGAAGGGAUGUGUGACAGACUACCCUUGGGCCUGGACUCACUUCCCUGACUUGUGCACCUGCCUCGCACACACAGAGUCCCCUUCUCACGUCCUCUCCUUCACUCCACCCUUCACCUUCGCCUUUAGGGGCGUCGCCUCUCAGACAGGCACUACAGGCGUCCUGGGUGAUUCUUGAGUGAUGGGUAUGUCUCAUGUCUUUUUUUUUUUUUUUUGGAGACGGAGUUUCACUCUUAUUACCCAGGCUGGAGUGCAAUGGCGCGAUCUUGGCUCACCGCAACCUCCGCCUCCUGGGUUCAAGCAAUUCUGCCUCAGCCUCCUGAGUAGCUGGGACUAGAGGCUGCGCCACCAUGCCCAGCUAAGUUUUUGUAUUUUUAGUAGAGACGGGGUUUCACCAUGUCCACCACGAUGGUCUCGAUCUCUUGACCUCUUGAUCCACCCGCCCUGGCCUCCCAAAGUGCUGGGAUUAUAGGCAUGAGCCACCGCGCCCAGCUGUCUCAUGUCUUUUUGAAGAUUAUACACUUCCUUCAUACAGAGCUGUAUUGUCAGUAGCUGUAGUCCCUCUUAUUAGAGCCCUUCUCAGGGAGGAAUAGAUAUACUGUAGGUGACUCCUGGAAUCUUUUUCUUUGGGAGUUUCUUUUUCUUUUCUUUUCUUUUUUUUUUUUUUUUUUUGAGACAGAGUCCAACUCUGUCACUCAGGCUGGAGUGAUGGAGUGCAAUAGCUCACUGCAUCCCCAAACUCCUGGGCUCAAGUGAUCCUUCUGCCUCAGCCUCCAGAGUAGCUGAGACAACAGGCAUGCACUACUGUGACUAGCUGCCUGUCAGUUUUUCUUUACUAGAUGAGUAUAAGUAUCUAAACAUCCACGAUUUCAUUAUAAGAUUUACAGAAUUGAGAGACUCUCUUCUCGAUCACUGAGUGUAUUUCAGGGCUAUAAUAUACAGGGCUGGGCCUAGUGGCUCAUGCCUAUAAUUCCAGCACUUUGGGAGGCUUCAGCAGGUGGAUUGCUUGAGCCUAAGAGUUCGAGACCAGCCUGGGCAACAUGGUAAAACCCCAUCUCUACAAAAAAAUACCAAAAUUAUCCGGGUGUGGUGGUGUGUGCCUAUAGUCCCAGCUUCUCAGGAGAUGUGAGGAUCGCUUGAGCCCAGGAGGUUGAGGCUGCAGUGAGCUGUAAUGCUGCCAUACUCCAGCCUGGGCAAUGGAGCAAGACCCUGUCUCAAAAAAUACAUAUUAAAUAGCCACAAUACAUUUUACCUCAUUUUUCUCCACUGCUUAUUUUGUUUGAAAAUCUGUGUGACAAAAUUUCAUGCCCUUAACCCUUAAAGUUGCCAUUAGUCCGAUAUUGGCAGAUGAAGGGCCCAUAGGAUUUUCAACAGUUUUUCAUCCAUGUGCCCAGUGGCUUUUGAGGAGCCACCUUUUGAGGAUCUCCCCAGGGCACUGGGGAGAUCCAUCCAUGAACAGAAUCAAAAUCUGUGCCCCUAGAGCUUAUAUUUUAGCAGGCUGAUGAUAACAACAGAGAUAAAUAAGUUGGUCAUGGAGAAUUUUAGAAAGUGUCCAAUGUCAUGGUGCAAUGGAAAAAGUGCAGCAGGGGCCAGGCACGGUAGCCAAAUCAGCACUUUGGGUGACUGAGUUGGGUAGAUCACCUGAGGUCAGGAGUUCGAGACCAGCCUGGCCAAUAUGGUGAAACCCUGUCUCUACUAAAAAUACAAAAAUUAACCAGGCACAGUGGCACCUGCCUGUGAUCCCAGCUACUCGGAAGGCUGAGGCAGGAGAAUCACUUGAACCCAGGAGGCGGAGGUUGCAGUGAACUGAGAUCACACCGCUGCACUCCAGCCUGGGUGGCAGAGCAAGACUCUGUCUCAAAAAAAAAAAAAAAAGAAAAGGUGCAACAGGAGCAAAGGAAAUGAGGGGAGGCAGGAUGCUAUUUUAAAUAGGGGAUAGGGAUAAGCCUCAUUGAGAAGGUAAUAUCUGAGCAAAAGUUUGAAGGAGAGAAAGGACUUAACAUUGAGUAUUUUUGAGGAAGAAUGGUCUAAGCAGAACAGCCUUGGGUGUCCAUUGUUGCAAGGAGGACUGUGGGCUAGUGUGGAGUGAGAGGGGUCUACAGCAGUGGAGGUGAGACCAGAGAGGGAACCAGAGGCCAGAUCGCCUGAAGGAUGUUAGGUCUAGGUGGAAUAAGGAGUCACUGCAGAGUUUUUAUACAGAUCCUUCCAGAAGCAAUGUUGAGAAUACCACGUAGGAGGCGUAGGUUGAAGUAGAGAGUCCUGUCACGAGGUAGUUGCUGUGAGCCAGGUGAGAGCUGAUGGUGGCUCAAACUGAGUGAGAUGUACCUGGGAUGUGUUUUGAAGCAGAAUCAACGAGAUUUCCUGGUGGGUUGAGUAUUAUUUCUCAGUUAGAAAUAAGAGUCAAGGAUGACUGUCAAGGUUUUUGGCUUGUGUGACUGGAGAGAGAGAGUGGCCUUCAAGAUGGGUUUGGCAAUAAAUGGACAAGCUUUUUUGGGGGUAGGGGUAGAGCUCAAGAGUUCAGCUUUGGACAUGUUGAAUUUAAGAUACCUACUAGAAUUCUAAGUGGAGAUAUGAAGUAGGCAAUCUGGAGGAGAGAGGCUGGGUCUGGAGAUGUCCAUGUGGGAGCUGUUAGCAGAGAAAUGGUAUUAAAGUCUGCAUGGGGUCACAUAGGAAUGGACCCAAAGCUGACUGAGCAGUCAUACCCCAUUUCCCCCCAAAGACCCCAGUCCCAGGCAACUACUAAUCUACUUUCUGGCUGGGCGGGGUGGCUCACGCCUGUAAUCCCAGCACUUUGGGAGGCCAAGGUAGGAUGAUCAUGAGGUCAAGAGAUCAAGACCAUCCUGGCCAACAUGGUGAAACCCCGUCUUUACUAAAAAUACAAACAUUUGCUGGGCAUGUUUUUUGAGAUGGAGUUUCGCUCUUGUUACCCAGGCUGGAGUGCAAUGGCGCGAUCUCGGCUCACCGCAACCUCCGCCUCCUGGGUUCAGGCAAUUCUCCUGCCUCAGCCUCCUGAGUAGCUGGGAUUACAGGCACGCGCCACCAUGCCCAGCUAAUUUUUUGUUGACCUCGUGAUCCAUCUGCCUCGGCCUCCCAAAGUGCUGAGAUUACAGGCUUGAGCCACCGUGCCUGGCCCGAGAUUUUUUUUUUUUUUUUUAAUUUUUUUUUAGUGGACAGAGUUGAAAAGUAGGGCUGAGAGCACAAAUUCCUUUUCUUUUCCAAGUCCUUAGGUUCUUAGACUGUAUCAGCCAUAAUUACUGCCAAAUGUGACUCCCUUGUAUAUGGUCAUUUUUAUUUUUUUAGUUCUUGGAGAUAGUGCAAUAAGUCACCUCAAAAAGCGCAGAGAAUGAGGGAGAGAUCCACCUGCAUUGGCUUAUUGAAAAGAUUAGAUUAUUUCAGAAUCCAGGUCAUUGUUUACUUUUAGCUGCAUAAAAAUCUCCAAGUAGAUUUUCUUACAGCCUUUCCAAGAUAAAGAUGCCAGAAACGGCAGCCAAAUACAUUGACUUUGAGAGGAAAAAAAAAUGCUUGUAAUUGCCGAUCACUCCUUGGAUUUACUUCUAGGGAGCACCAAUUAAAAAUCUCAAAACACGUGGCUUUUUCUGUAAAAUUAUACUAAUGUGGAGGAAGAGCUUUUAUUAAAUAUGAGUGCGCGUGUGUCCGUGUGUGUGUGUCCGUGUGUGUGUGUGUGUGUUUUAAACGUUUCCAUAAUGAGUUCCCAAGUGCUUUUUUGGCAGUGGUUAUUAAAGCUUGUGUGUUUGCGAUUUAUUUGGCAAAAUGCCUUCAGUGAAGAAAGGAUAUAGUGUUCUCUUGGUUCUUUGCCCAAAGUAAUUUUGGAGAAGUCUGUGACUGUAUUUAGUUCAUGUCAUUCAUUGAAGACAAGUCAUUGUAAUUACAUUUGAUCACAAUCAGUUUACAGUUGUUUUAUCAUGUUUUCAUGCUGAAUAUCUACUCAGACAUCAUAGCAAAAUUUAAUGGCUACUGUUUUAUUUGUACAUAAAAAGAUUUAUAGCCUUUUUUUGCAGUACACAUCAGGUUUCAAUCAUCACUGCUGCAGAGUGAGAGGAAAGCUAUGGAUAAAGAACUAUCAGAAAUCCUUGACUACAUAAAAUUUUAUUUCAGGUCACCUUGCCAUAAAAGAUAUUGAAUGUACUUUGUGGCUUUUCCUCCUGACAUGCUAACCAUUGUAGAAGAGUUGCAGUAUUUGGAGGAAACCAUAUGAAAUGUGCAACUUAAUUCACUGAAGAUCGUUUACAUUUGCAUGUGUUUUCCACUGGAAGUAGGCAUGCCAGUAUUGUGAAUGGCCCCUUGGUGAUGCAGAGGAAAAGGCAGCGGCAUUAUCGAUAUUCUUGAGAUUGCAAAGCAAGUUAUCUUCUUGACCAUACGGCUGAACAUUUUGUCACUGUUGUUUCAGAAGGUCUGCCCUAACAUCUGCACUAUGGCAGAGUUGUGUUACAGGGUGUUAUUUACAGCUAACAAAUGCUGGAGGCUCUCAUGUAUCAGACAGUCCCUGAUUUGCUAAUUGUGGAAGCCUUGAUUGACCAGAGAAUUUGGGUGAAUUCACUAGUUACCUCCUUCCUGUCACUUCUCACCAUGCCUUACUUUUCCCAAAAGGUUGGUCCCAAGCUCUGCUGAAAUCUGCUCUUGGUCUGUAUGUUUGAGUCUACAUUGUUGAAGAAGCUCCCUUUACAAAAGUGUAAUUAAUGGGAAACUUUGACAUCCAGCUGAGAAAAUUAGUUUGCAUCAAAAAAAAGGCAAGAUAGAGGAUUAAAGAAAUUUUAGUCCUAAUCUAAUUAACACCAAUUAAAAGAUGCAGAUGAAUUUACACCAACAAAUUGUUAAUUAUGCACCAAUUUGCCUUUUUUCUGCAACCAAACUGAAAUCAGGAAAGUAUUAUCUUUUUUGUUUGAGGAGACUUACAUUAUGGGUUUGUCAUAAUCAUCUUUAUAUAAUUAAAGAAAGGCAAAAAGAGCGUGAAAUAUUUCAGUCUCCUGAUAAUUUAAUGUAGGUUAACGCUUUAUAAAAAUGGAAAGUACAAAAAAAAAAAAAAAUCCAAACAAGCAAACAAAAUCAGACAGUACAGGAUAAUUCUAUUAGCAUUCCUUCACUGACUUCAUUCCUCCACUGAUACUUACUGAGGACCUAGUAUAUGCUGAACACUUAAAUGCAACAAUUUUUUUUCUCAUUUAUAAUAUUUAAACUUGUUUCUAUUUCUAUACAUUGCUUAUUAGAAAAAUUGUAUAAGCUAAUUUUACCAAAAUUGUAUAAGCGAAUUAAACUCUGCCCUGGAUACAUGUCAAAAAAGGAGAAUCAAACUUUUGGGCUUCAAGGAAUGCUCUUAGUAUCCCAGAACUCUUGAAUGUGAGCUUUGAGGGUAUUCGGCUUCCAUCUUCCUCACUCGGGGAAUCUGUUUCUGUUUCCCAGUGUUACUCAGAUCUCCACUGUGCUGGGACUUUCUUUUUCCUGGUGAAUCACUCUUACAGCUCCUCAGAUGGUGAUCUGAGUAAUUAUGUAGGGGGUGGUGAAGCACAGAUCUGUUAUAUCUGCAGAUGACACAUCUGUCCAAAUGUCAUAUAAUGAGUAACCACAAUCCACUUUAUAUAAGCCAUAUUUCUUCUCUUUCCAAAAUGGGAAGGAGAGAGUGGGAGGGAAAUGUCUGGUAGAAAUGGGAAGAAAAGCAUUUCUAUGGAUUCCUCUAGCCAUUAAUUACAUAGCAAAUGCCCCAGCUGCCCUCAGAUUUCCAGGUGCACGUUAUUAAACUUUAUUCAAAGAAAAUGUUUGGCCAACUAGGUCCUGAUGUGAGAAACAGCAUCCUAAAAAGGUAUGUAUGUUACGUCUAAUGCAUGUGCUUAGGCAUUAAAUAAUAAAUGACCAUGUUAUCUUCUUGGGGCGAUAGUUAAUGUAAACACUUAGGAUGCUCGGUUUGUACUCUUCAGUAUUUGUGCUGGAAACUUGCAUUCACGGCUUUGAAAACUGGCUAGUGUUUUCAUGAGAAGUGUCAGUUUAAAGUUGGCCUGCUAAUUAAUGGGGGAGUUUCAAUAUGGCAGUGCUUACGACAGCAAAGGAAAAGCAUUCUUUUUUUUUUUUCUUUUUUGGAGAUGGAGUUUCGCUCUUGUUACCCAGGCUGGAGUGCAAUGGCGCGAUCUCAGCUCACCGCAACCUCCGCCUCCUGGGUUCAGGCAAUUCUCCUGCCUCAGCCUCCCGAGUAGCUGGGAUUACAGGCACGCGCCACCAUGCCCAGCUAAUUUUUUGUAUUUUUAGUAGAGACGGGGUUUCACCAUGUUGACCAGGAUGGUCUCGAUCUCUUGACCUCGUGAUCUCCCCGCCUCAGCCUCCCAAAGUGCUGGGAUUACAGGCUUGAGCCACCGCACCCGGCUUAGGAAAAGCGUUCUUUACAAACAUCAUCUUCCCCCGCACAUUCACAGGAUGGUAUCUGACACCCACUUUUAACUUCUAGAGCACCAUUUGUACUUCUCCGUGGUCUUGCCUGCAGGUCUUUGAUGAUACAGUCCGCCCUUCCGCAAAAACAUACUUCAGUUUUCCUAGAUUCUACUUUCAGUGCUUUGCGAAUCAAGUUAGAGGGUGAAUAGCUUAGCCUGAUGAAAUGGCAUUCAUAGGGUUAGAAUAGCAGAGUUGCCUACCUAAUCUUCCUGUCGCAAUGAAAUAAAAGAAUGAUAUCUAAGUUGACCAACCUUAUAAAGAUAAUUUUACGUGAAGCCUCCAAAAAUAAUGGACUCAAAAAAAAUAAAAAAGAAAGGGGGGCAGUUUUAAAAUAAAACAAACAAAAACAAUAAUGGACUAGGACUGGUCAAAGAAGAAAACAGCCCUCACAUCCUCAAUCCAAAACCCAGAGUUUGUCUUCAAAAGUGGAAAGCUUGUUGGUUUUAUACUUAAUGAGAUCUUGAGUUAUCCAACGUGCUUCCAUCAUAGAAUGGCCCACCAGGGUAGAAGGAUUCUGAAUGUGUUCCCUGGUGCUUUGCCAUGUGCCUAUGGAAUACCUGUGCUGCAUUUCUAGCCCUCUUUCUGUGCAGUAGCAAAGAUGUGUAUCACUGCUGAAACUUCGGGUCCGAUCUUUGGCUUUAGGAUAGACCACUGGGUUUCUCCCACCGCCUGAAACCUUAGUAGCAUUAGCAUCAGAUGUGGACCUAAUCACCAAAGUGCCUAGCUGAUACGUGCCACAUUUUUCAUGAUGUUAUACUGUGGCCUAUUCACACACAAUUUCUUAUCCCAUGAAGGGAAGAAAAAGAUAAUUUGCCGUUCUGUAAAUUAAAAUUUUUCUUUUGUGGUUACUUUGGACCAGAGCCAUACAUCAGAUGAUUCUGAGUGGGAUCUUUCCACUAUUGUAGACUUUGUAAACACUAUGUGCUACACUAUUAGGCUAUACUACAUAGAUAGUAGUAUCAUACCCAUGUUAGAUUUUCUGAUUUUGAUAAUUGUGAUACAGUUCUGUAGGAGAGUGUCCUUGGUUUGGGGAACCAUUUAGGAGCUUAGGGGCACAACGAAUAAACUUACAAAUGGUUCAUCAAAAAAUACAUGUGCAGAAAUAUAAAAAUAAAUAGAUAUCUGUACAUAUUAUGCAUAUCUACCUAUCUAUAUCUGUAUCUACACAUAUGGAGAGAGAGAGAGACCAAGAGAGACAGAGGAGCGCAGUAAUGAUAGAGAAAUGUGGCAGAAUGUUAACAGUGCUAACAGUUGGUGAGACUGGGUAAGGGGAAUUCAGGAAUUAUUUAGCUAUCCCUGCAUCUUCUUCUUCUUCUUUUUUUUUUUUUUGAGAUGAAGUCGUCUUCUGUCACUCAGGCUGGAGUUCAGUAGCUCAAUCUCUGCUCAUUGCAACCUCUGCCUCCUGGGUUCAAGCGAUUCUCCUGCCUCAGCCUCUGAGUAGCUGGGAUUACAGGCAUAUGUGCCACAACACCUGGCUAAUUUUUAUAUUUUCAGUAGAGACGGUGUUUCAUUAGUUAGCCAGGCUGGUCUUGAACUCCUGACCUCAAGUGAUCCACCUGCCUAAACCUUCCAAAGUGCCAGGAUUACAGGCAUGAGCCACUACUCCUGGCCUUCUUGGAUCUUUUCUGUUCGUUUCAGAUUACAAUCAUGCGUCGCUUAACAAUGGGAAUAUGUCCUGAGAAAUGCAUUGUUACGUGAUUUCAUCAUUGUCCUACCAUCACAGAGUGUACUUCCACAGCCCGUGUGUUCCAGCCUACUGCAAACCUAGGCUGUGUGGUAUAGCUUACUGCCCCUCGGACAUAAACCUGUACAGCAUGUUGCUACUGAAUACUGAAGGCAGUUGUAACACAAUGGUAAGGAUUUCUGUAUCUAAACAUAUGUAAAAAGAAAAAGUGUACAGUAAAAAUACUGCGUAAAAGAUUUACAGUGGGCCGGGCGUGGUGGCUCAAGCCUGUAAUCCCAGCACUUUGGGAGGCCGAGGCGGGUGGAUCACGAGGUCAAGAGAUCGAGACCAUCCUGGUCAACAAGGUGAAACCCUGUCUCUACUCAAAAUACAAAAAUUAGCUGGGCAUGGUGGCGCGUGCCUGUAAUCCUGGCUACUCAGGAGGCUGAGGCAGGAGAAUUGCCUGAACCCAGGAGGUGGAGGUUGCGGUGAGCUGAGAUCGCGCCAUUGCACUCCAGCCUGGGUAACAAGAGCGAAACUCCGUCUCAAAAAAAAAAAAAAAAAGAUUUACAGUGGAACACCUGCAGAAGACUCUUACAAUGCAUGGAGCUUGCAGGCCCUCCCGUUCUGGGUGAGCCAGUGAGUGAGCAGUGAGUGAAUGUGAAGCCCUAGGACAUUACUGUCACUACUGUAGACUUUGUAAACACUAUAUACUUGGGCUAUACUACAUUUAUUUAAAAAAAAAAUUCUUUCUUCAACAGUAAAUUAACCUUAGCUUACUAUAACCUUUUUUUUUUUUUUUUGAGAUGGAGUCUUGCUCUGUCACCCAGGCUGGAGUGCAGUGGUGCUGUCUCAGCUCACUGGAUUCCAGCAAUUCUCUGCCUCAGCCUCCCGAGUAGUUGGGAUUACUGGUGCCCACCACCGCUCCUGGCUAAUUUUAAAAAAAACUUUGAGUAGAGACAGGGUUUCACCAUUUUGGCCAGGCUGGUCUUGAACUCCUGACCUUGUGAUCCACCUGCCUUGGCCUCCCAAAGUGCUGGGAUUACAGGCAUAAGCCACUGCGCCCAGCCAGCUUUUUUUUUUUUUUAAGUUAUUACUAUUUUUUGAGAAGGCGUCUUAUUCUGUCACCCAGGCCAGAGUACAGUGGCUCAAUCUCAGCUCACUGCAAACUCUGCCUCCUGAGUUCAAGCCAUUCUCCUGACUCAGCCUCCUGAGUAGCUGGGACCAUAGGCACGUGUGACCAUGCCCAGCUAAUAUUUGUAUUUUUAGUAGACUCUUUUGUAAUAACACUAAGCUUAAAACACAAACACACCUAUAAUCCCAGCACUUUGGGAGGCCGAGGUAGGUGGAUCAUGAGGUCAAGGGAUCGAGACCAUCCUGGUGAACAAGAUGAAACACCGUCUCUACUAAAAAUACAAAAAUUAGCUGGGCGUGGUGGCGCGCGCCUGUAGUCCCAGCCACUCGGGAGGCUGAGGCAGGAGAAUUGCUUGAACCCAGGAGGCGGAGGUUGCGGUGAGCCGAGAUCAUGCCAUUGAACGCCAGCCUGGGUAACGAGUGAAACUCCGUCUCAAAAAACAAAAACAAAAACAAAAACAAACAACAAAAGAAAAUACGAACACAUUGUACAAAAAUGUUUCCUUUAUCUCUUAUUCUAUAUGCCUUUUUAUAUUUUUAAAUUUUAGUUUUUACGCUUUUUGAACGUUUUGUUAAAAGAAACACACACACAUUAGCCUAGGCCUACACAGGGUCAGGAUCAUCAGUAUCACUGUCUUCCACCUCUGCAGCUUGUCCAGGUGGAAGGUCUUUAGGGGAAAUAACAUGCACAGAGCUGUCAUCUUCUACGAUAACAAUGCCUUUUUCUGGAAUACCUCCUCAAGGACCCCCCGAGGCUAUUUUACAGUUAACUUUUUUUAAAUAAGAAGGCGCAUAGUCUAAAAGAGAAAAUGUAAAGCAUAAUAUAUAUAUAUAAACCAGUAACAAUCAUUUAUUAUCAUUAUCAAGUAUGUACUAUACGUGAUUGUAUGUGCUAUAUUUUUAUAGCACUGGUGGUGCAGUAGUUUUAUAUAUACUAGCAUCACCACAAACUCAUGAAUAAUGCAUCGUGCUAUGAUGUCACAGUGGCUACAACAUCACUAGACUAUAGGAAUUUUUCAGUUCCAGUACAGUAUAAUUUUUUUUCUUUUUGAGGAGUGUUGCUCUGUCUUCCAAGAUGGAGUACAGUGGUACUAUCUUGGCUCACCGCAACCUCUGCCUCCUGGGUUCAAGCAAUUCUCCUGUCUCAGCCUCCCGAGUAGCUGGGAGUACAGGCGUGUGCCACACCAUGCCCAGCUAAUUUUUGUGUUUUUAGUAGAGACGGGGUUUCACCUUGUUGACCAGGAUGGUCUCGAUCUCUUGACCUCGUGAUCCAGCCGCCUCAGCCUCCCAAAGUGCUGGGAUUAUAGGCGUGAGCCACCUUGCCCGGCCAGGAUCAGCCUUCUUAACCCAGCCACUCACAAGGGAUUCUGAGGAUGAAUGUUCACUGGGGCAGAUUGGUUAUAUUCAGCAACUUCAUGUAUUUCUGCAAAGUCUACCAGUCUGAUGAUGCAGUGAACGUCAUGAUCCCCUGUGAAAUAAUAAAAAGAUAAAGUGUUCCGAGGCCCAUUUAUUUCUCACUCCUACUACCCCAGAAGACUGAACCAUGGGUUUAAGUAAACACUUGAACUGAGGGUCACUGUAUUGUAUGUUCCUGUUCAGACAGGACUUCACAAAGACUUUCUUUUAUACAGAAAACAACCAGCCAAUAAAACAGCAUUAGAGUACAUUAUACAUGUGACCAAUCAUUUUAUAAAAUCUGAUGUAAGCCUUCAGGCAUAAUUGGAGUUCUUAGCAAAAUUCUUUGGUUUUUAAUAUUUCUAUGACCCUCUGAGGGGGACUUAGCAAUUACUCUUAAAUUUUUAGAGUGGAGCAUGGAGUUUUAGCUGUGUGACUUCCAUUAAAGUCCACAGGAGUCUUGUUGCUAAAACAUCACACGACUCACGAAAAUGUGCUCCUUCUCGUGAAAUUGUUAGAAGUAAUGGGUAUGGAAGUGUAGCACAGCAUUUCUGGAACAUUUACAAGCUUUCUGUACUUGUUUCAAACUUUAUACUUUUAUGAAAACUCAACAGUUCUAUAAAAAUUGAAGAGGGAAAAAGCCUGUUAUGUGAAUUCCAAAAGUGAAAGGUGGAAAAAAUAUAGUAGAACCAAUAAAAAAAUUAAAAUGAUUCUUUAAGAAAAGCCAAAUGUUUAAAUAUAUUUAUCAUUUUUAUUUCAAAAUUAAUGUAUCUGCUCCCAGAUUUUUAAGAUAAGCCUUAAAAUCAAACUUAAAAAAAUGAACUUUAAUGAGAAACUUUUACUAUAAUCACAUACAGUGAUUUUGGGUUUCGGCAACCUCCUCUGCUGAAACUGAUGUAAUUUAAGCAUCAUCUGAGCAAAGCUUUAUUCCUUUAGAUGGUGGUGGUGUGAGGGGUUUGUUCCCAGAGGAUGGCCUUAAGGUUUGCUGAGUCCGUUUCUGUCAAGAACCUCUUAGAGGCUGGGUGGGGUGGCUCAUGCCUAUAAUCCCAGCACCUUUGGGAGGCCUACGUGGGCGGAUCACUUGAGAUCAAGAGUUCAAGACCAGCCUGGUCAAUAUGCUGAAACUCCAUCUCUACUAAAAAUACAAAAAUAAGCUGUGGUGGUGUGCGUCUGUAAUCCCAGCUACUCGGGUGGCUGAGGAAUGAGAAUCGCUUGAAUCCGGGAGGCAGAGGUUGCCGUGAGUGGAGAUUGAGCCAAUGUGCUCCAGCCUGAGUGACAGAACAAGACCUUGUCUCAAAAAAAAAAAAAAAAAUCUCAUAGACAUUUCUCUCCUGUUUCCCUGUGAUAAGAGUGCUGUGAUGCCUGUUACACAGUCAAACGGAUUCAGAGCCCACCUUUGUCUGACUCCAGGACCCAAUUUCCCCCUUUAUUCUCUUUUGUGCUAUGCUGGAGAAGACAGUGCAGCAGCUCUCGGGAAUUUGUGUGGCGCUGUUACAGGGACACUCUGAGCAAGGAAAAUGGUGACAGACCUGGAAGGAGACCUUCUUCCAGUCCAGGCUACAUGCUCUGAGGUCUUCCAGAGCGUACAGCUGCUCCAUUCGAACUGUGCUCCCAGAGUGACAUGGGCCUGAGUCGCUGGAGCCGGCAGCUCCUGGUGCUCAGCUCAGCGGCUCAGCCCAGCAUCAGUACCACCUCCUCUUUGAGCAUCUGGUGGCCUUGCUGGUGACACGGUGACACAACCAGUUUCUCCUAGAGGAGAAACAUCUUCCGAGUUCUGUUUCCGCAGUCCUUUGGGGGACAGUCAAGGCCAGAGUUGGCCUCAGACAUAGAAGUAUUUGUUUCAACACAUUGAGAGAGAGAAAGAAAGAGACUCAGUGACUGUUUCUUGAGUUAAUUGUCGUUGGCUCAGUUUCAGUGGUGCAAUGUUUUGUUGCAGAUUCAUUUACUAAGCAAUACAAAAUUAUCAUCUAUAUGCAUUAUUGCAUCUUGGGAUGGUUCUGUAAGCAUUACUUUCUCCUGAAAUCUCCCUACUGUCCGGACAGUGGAUUUUAGGAUAGGUUUUUAAAAUGGAAAACGACGCAGAAUCAAAUUUUCAACAUAGCGUCGAAGGAAUAGCAUCAGUUGGGAAUGAGCUAUGCCACCAAUUUAAAGUGUCCCAGCUGGGGUCAGAAUUAGGGACUAUCUAAACAGGGAAUUUCAGAAGGGCAGGGGAGAAUAUCAAGGCACAAAUGGGAGGAAAUAAGCCAUUGUUCCUUUAGAAAGCUUAGUAACCUCGAUAAUGAGAGGCUAUGAAAUAGUUCUUUUUAUAACUGUAACUUCUUAACUUUCCAGCCCUAGUAGCUCCAAGGGUCACUUGCAGAGAGCCCCGGGGCUACACCUGCCUUGCAUAGAUUAGGGCUCGCUGCAGCUGUCUUCAUUUGCAAGACUAAGGUGUAGCUCCAAGAGGCUGUGGGUCUCAGCAUGGAGCUCUCCUCUUCAAUCUCAAUAGGCUGGUGUUGCGGAUUAAGAUGGCCAUUGCAAGCCAGGCUCAGAAAUUGCAAGAUGAGGCAGGUAACGAUUUCCUGGGUUUUAUGUAUCAGACCUUAUGAGGUAUGAAGCGGGGAAACCUUUUAUAUGCCUGCCUUGAAUUAGCCAUACCUUUUACAAUCGGCUCUGUUGAAGAGCAGCUGCCUAUCUAGUGUACCCAUGGGCCAAGCUUGCCUUUGGCACACACACGUUUGUAAAGAGUUUGUGAAUCUAUAGGAUAUCUCUUGGUGAGGACAAAAGGGACAUAGCUAGUCAGCAUUGGACUGUGGGCUGGGUCCCACUUUCUCCUGUAAUGUGCAUUUGUUUCACAGAAAAUACAAUUAGGAUAAUUCUUGUGUGUUCUCUACAGGAAGGAAGUAGUAUACUGCUUGUGAAUGGUAGGCUAAAUGAGGGAACCAUUAAAGGGUUUUUAAUAGACUUUUGAACCAAAAGACAGAAGGGACUAUACUUAUGUUGCCUUAAUUGAGAAAUAUUUUGCAGUGUGAGAAGACUUAAUCAAAUCUUCAUUACAUACCUGGUCAGGGAGCAGGCUGAAUGUUUCUUUAAGCAAUUGGAUAAAAUGCACAUUGAAGACUUGUUAGUUAUGUGAGAAUGUGUCUGACAUGCUUAUCAUCUCUCCUGCGGGUGCCUGAGUAUCAGAUACUUGGUUUACUGUGUUGGGUUGAAUGCUUCUGUUCUAAUUUCUAAUGAACUUUACCACCAGACUACUUGAUCAUGACUAAGCCCAGGAACAAUGCAAAUGGAAUUGCCCCCUGAUGGGGAGGAAUGGGCCCAGAUGGCCCUUAAAAGGUGAUAAUUAGGAAAUAUAGCAUAUCUGAGUAGCUAGAAAGAGAGAAACUUGUUAAAGACAGUCAAUCUGUUUGAAGCAAUGGUCUUUCCCUUAAUUAUAUGCAUUUUCAUUUAGAGUUGCUUUAAAGUAAAAUUUUCCCAGGAAAAAUUUUUAUUAGUACUGAAAACCUAGAAACCACACACACAUUUUUUGCUACUCUGUUUCAGAUUAUUGAAAAUUCCUUCCUUCAUACAUUUUUUGUUUUCCAGAUCUGUGUAACAGACUUGCUGUGUGUGUUUUAGGGGGCCGUUUUAGGUUAUUUUAGCUCUUAUGUUAAAACAGUGGGGGAGUGAUUAAAAGUGAGAAAAAUAUUAGUAUAUAUUUGUAAACUGAGCUUUUAAAAUUAAAAUAGUUGCAGUCUGUGAUUUCAUAUACUUUGUGAGAUUGCCUUAAAUGUAUUGCCUUUUUGGCAGCAUAAUGCCAGAUUUUUCUCCAAUAUGUCAUUAAAAUAAUUUUACAUGUAACAAGUUGAACUUUUUAAAGACUUAUAUUUCAAUCUGAAUUAGCAUAUCUACCAAUGAUACGACUUAUUUGGCUUUUCUUUAGCCCUUUUUUUUUUUAAAGUAUACAAACUUGGCAUCACUCUUUAAGAAUAACAAGUAAACUGGAAAUGAGAAGGUGGUGAUGUGAGCAGAGAGAGAAAUACCCUCCUUACAUCCUUUCCAGCUCUUGACAAUGGUUGUUCCUGGGAAUUAAAACCUAAUGCAAAAGCCGGAGCGGCCCAAAGGCAACUUCUUCCUUAUACAUAAAGCCAGAAAGUAAAAUUACAUUUAAGUGCUAAGCUACAUUAUUCUGAAUAUUUUGGCAGUCAUAUUUGGGCAGAUGAGUUGCUUUCCUGAAAUUACUCAGCACCAUCAUUCAUCCUGACAAAAGCCGGUGGUACAGAUGCACCUUUGGGACUGAGGCCAAGGUGAAACCUGCGUUUUCCAGUUCUGCCCACUCAGGUUUGGAAGGACUCUCCAUAAAAUCAGCCUCGGGCCGGGCGCCGUGGCUCACGCCUGUAAUCCCAGCACUUUGGGAGGCCGAGGCGGGUGGAUCACGAGGUCAAAAGAUCGAGACCAUCCUGGUCACCAUUGUGAAACCCCGUCUCUACUAAAAAUACAAAAAAUUAGCUGGGCAUGGUGGCGCAUGCCUGUAAUCCCAGCUACUAAGGAGGCUGAGGCAGGAGAAUUGCCUGAACCCAGGAGGCAGAGGUUGUGGUGAGCGGAGAUCGCGCCAUUGCACUCCAGCCUGGGUAACAAGAGCGAAACUCAGUCUCAAAAAAAAAAUCAGCCUCAUACUCCAAGCAUCACCCGGUCCCGUCCUUAGUAAAUUCACUCUGGCCGGAACAUAGGGUCCCAGCAUCUAGUCCUCGGGAAGUCAUAUAAAUUCAUCAAGUAUCAGCCAGGCGCUGUAGCUCAUGCCUAUAAUCCCAGCACUUUGGGAGGCUGAGGCAGGUGGAUCACGAGGUCAAGAGAUCGAGACCAUCCUGGUCAACAAGGUGAAACACCGUCUGUACUAAAAAUACAAAAAUUAGCUGGGCAUGGUGGCGCGCGCCUGUAGUCCCAGCUACUCAGGAGGCUGAGGCCGCAGAAUUGCUUGAACCCAGGAGGCGGAGGUUGCGGUGAGCCGAGAUCGCGCCAUUGCACUCCAGCCUGGGUAACAAGAGCGAAACUCCAUCUCAAAAACAAACAACAACAACAACAACAACAACAAAUUCGUCAAGUAUCUUCCUCCACCCAAAAAAUUUCUUACACAAUCUUGGAUAUUUUAAGCCUCAUUACUGAAAAGUGGGUAUAGUUCAUGCUCAGCUUCAGGAUUCCAGAAGCAUCCAUACCAGGUUAGAAUGGAGAAAUGUCAUGCUCUCCUUCAGCAAGCUUCAGGGGAGACAGGAUUUAGUGUGGGCCACGCAUACACCGGUUGCAGGAUGUUUUGAACUAUAUUCUUUUUUUUUUUUGAGACAGAGUUUCACUCUUGUUACCCAGGCUGGAGU
Molecule: RNA transcript, 38301 nt
Organism: Callithrix jacchus (white-tufted-ear marmoset)
Lineage: Eukaryota; Metazoa; Chordata; Mammalia; Primates; Cebidae
Gene name: peptidyl-prolyl cis-trans isomerase A pseudogene
Source: RefSeq, a predicted model, not a curated record